RNAcentral lists this long non-coding RNA (4040 nucleotides) under Homo sapiens (human). RNAcentral describes it as "HSALNT0039887". Lineage: Eukaryota; Metazoa; Chordata; Mammalia; Primates; Hominidae. The record is from RNAcentral.
GAAUCAGAAGGAGCCAGGGAAGGACAAAGAUUGGGGCUGAGCCCCUAUGACCCAAUGGCCAUUGGUGGCCUGGCCUUAUGGUCCCAAGACACCUGGUCCUCAGGCCAGAGACACCAUGGGCUUUGGUCGGGUCCCAGCCUCCCAGUAGUGUCCUGGCACUAGCAGGAGCUGACCCCUGAGCCACAACCGCAGUUCUGGGUUUGGGGUUUGGUAAAACCACCUCAAGGAUAAAGUCUUGGGAUCGGGUUUGCCAGGAACCAUGGUGCCUCCCAGAGAUGGUGUGUCAUUCCCACUCGCCACGAAAUGUGCACACAGGCUGUUCCCAUGUCCAUCCCAUCCCGCUGGACAGGAUGGAGGAAGUGAGGGAACAGGCAUGGUGGACAGCUGGGGUGCAGGGAGAGCUCAGGCUGCACCAUGCGGUUGCCCCUCCUGGGUGGAGUCUGUGCCCUCUACAGGAUCUGAGAAAGUCCAGUCCUGAGAUGGGACAGCGCUGCCCAGGGUAGGUAGCCGGGGCCUGAGAGCAGUCCCCCAGGGAGUGACCACAUCACCUGGCUGGGGUCCAGGGAGCUUGGGGUGAGACCCACCCAGUGCACUGAGGGUGCACCUGGAGCCCAACCCACCUGACACCCUCACAGCCUUCACAGGGUCUGACGUCCCACCAUGCACCUGCCUCUCCCUGCACCCCACUGCCCACCCUGCCUGUUCCCUGGCUUUCUCCAUCCUGUGCAGCCCAUAGACUGUGACCAUCUCUCCAGACACUCUGACCCUUUCUUCACCUUUGUCCUGUCAGAAUCUCUGAGCAACAUCUCCCAGGUCCAUCCAAACAACUGCUUUGUCUACUUUUGACCGGGCCAUUGGGCAUCACUGGGCCAUCCCAGCUGUCCAGAGGGCCCUCGAUAACGUGCAAUGCACCUGGCUUCUCCAAGCAGCGCUCAGCAGUCCCCACUGACCAGGUUCCUGCUGACCAGACCCCACACAUCAGGUCUUCCCUGACCACACCCUCACUGAUUAGAUCCCCAUCACCAGGACCCACUAACAAGACCCCUGCUUCCAGGCCAACAAUGACCAUGACUCCACUGACCAGGACCUUACUGACAAAGCCUCACGGACAAGGCCUCACUGAACAGGACCUUACUGACCAGGCCUCACUGACAAGGCCUCACUGACAAAGUCCUUACUAACAAGGCCUCACUGACCAGGACCUUAUUGACAAGGCCUCACUGACAAGGCCUCAUGGAUGAGCUCCUUACUGACAAUUCCUCACUGACCAGGACCUUAUUGACAAGGCCUCACGGACCAGGUCCUUACUGACAAGUCCUCACUGACCAGGACCUUAUUGACAAGGCCUCACUGACCAGGUCCUUACUGACAAGGCCCCACUGACAAGGCCUCAUGGACCAGGUCCUAACUGAGAAGACCUCACUGACCAGGACCUUAUUGACAAGGCCUCACUGACCAGGUCCUUACUGACAAGGCCCCACUGACAAGGCCUCACUGACAAGGUCCUUAUUGACAAGGCCUCACUGACCAGGACCUUACUGACAAGGCCUCACUGGCAAGGCCUCAUGGACCAGGUCCUUACUGACAAGGCCUCACUGACUAGGUCAUUACUGACAAGGCCUCACUGAUCAGAUUCCACUGAUCAUGACCCCAUUACCUGGCCCCACAGAUGAGGCCCCACUGACCAGGCCUCCAGGGAACAGGCUGCCACUGAUCAGGCCCCUACUAACCAGGCCUGAGGUGACCAGAUGCCCCUGACUGGGACCCUAGUGAGUAGGCCCCACUGAACAGGCACCGACUACUCAGGUCCCCGCUGACUGGGUCACCCCAUAGACCAGUGCUACAAAAGCCACCACUGACCAAGUCAUCACUGACCAGGCCCCCACUGAUGAGGUUCCAAUGACCAGGCUGCCCUGAUCAGGUCCCCACUGACAAGGGACUCACUGAUGAGGACACGCCCACCAGGCCCUGCUGACUAGGUCCCAUGUGACCAGUCCUCCACUGAAUAGCAGCCCUUGACCUGGUCACCAGUGACCCAGCCCAUGCUGACCAGGCCACCACUAAGCCCAGCUGACCAGGUCGCCACUGGUCAAGCCCCACAGCCCAGGUCUGCACUGACCAGACACCAAACAACUGGCUGCCAAUAGGUCCCCACUCGCCAAAACCCCCACUACUGGAUCCCCCUAAUGAGACCCUCCCUAAGCAGACCCCUGCUGGCCAGGCUCCCACUAAACAGGCCUCACUGACCAAGUCCCAACUGACUAGGUCCACUGAGCAGGCCCACACUGAUCAGGCCCCUCCUAACCACAUCAGAAGGCCAAGUGGCAAUCAGAUGUUUCAUAUGGCAGAAAUAGAAGCAAGACACAGAGAGAAAAGAGGUGCCACAGCCCAUUAUACAACCAGAUCACAUGAGAACUCACUAUCAGAUCAGCAUCAAAAUUAACCACUGGUGAAGGAUCCACCACACACACCACCGCCUACUGUUUCCAGGCAGAAGCCUCCUGCAGAGGCAGAGCCUCUUGGGAAACUUCCACUAUGGCAGUGCAGAAGGGAAAUAUGGGCUUGGAGCCCCCACACAGGAGGCCACCAUCCUCCAGACCCCAGAUUCAUAAGCCCACCAACAGCCCGCACCCUCAGUAUGCAAAAGCACUCAACACCAGCCCAGCCCAUGAGAGCAGCCAUGGGGGCUAAAGCCUGCAAAGCCACAGGAGCACUGCCCUAGCAGAGGUUUUCCAUGAGGAUGUGACUCUGCAGCAGGCUACUCCCGCUUCCUAAUACCCACCAUCCUCUCACCACCCUACUGACAACCCACUCCUCCCAACACUGUCCACUUUAUUUCCUUCCAACUCCAACCCCCUCCCAUCCAUGGUUAAAUCACCUUCCACCAGGCCCCAUCUCCAACAUUCAAGAUUACAAUUCACAUGAGUUUCUGUAGGGAAACACAGCCAAACCAUGUUAUUCUGACCCUGACCCCUCCGAAUCUCAUGUCCUUCUCACAGAGCAAAAUACAAUCACACCUUUUCAAAAGUUGCCAAAAGUCUUAACUCAUUCCAGCAUUAACUCAAAUGUAAAAGGUUCAACGUCUCAUCUGAGACAAGCCUACAGUCCCUUUUGCCUAUAAGUCCCUGAAUUUAAAAGGGUGUUCUUUUAAGACACAAUGAUGGUACACCCAUUGGGUAAGCUUUCUCAGUCCAACGGGAAGAAAUUUCCCAGCAAAAUAACACAGAUGGGACCACAGGACCAAUGCAAGUCCAAAACCCAGGAGACCAGUAUCCAUUCAAUCUCACUGCUCCAAAAUCAUGAAGAGAACUCACCAUCACAAGUACAGAAAUAAAGAGAUUGUGUCUAAUCAUUUGUGAAGGAGCCACCAUCACUUUUCACCCCUCACCCCCAACAUAAUCUCCCCAUUCUCCCUAUCCCCCACCUCCCAACCCCCACACUCCACCAUGAUUAAAUCACCUUCCACCAGGCCCCAACUUUAACAUUCCCCAUUACAAUUCCACACGAAUUUUGGUAGGGACACAGAGCUAAAUUUUAUUAUUCUGUCCCUGGCUCCCCAAAUCUCAUGUCCUUCUCACAUUGCAAACUACAAUGAUAGCUUCCCUACAGUCCCCCAAAGUCUUAUAUCAUUUCAUCAUUUAUACAAAUAUUCAAAGCUUAAAGUCUCAUCUAACACAAGGCUGCAGACCCUUAGGCUCAUGAGCCUCUGAAAUAUAAAGAAAGUUAACUACUUCCAAGGUACAAUGCUUAUACAGGCAAUGGGUAAGCAUUCCCAGCCAAAAGGAAUAAUUUUGCCAGAAAGAACAAAACACAGAAAGGACUUACAGACCCCAUGAAACUCCAAACCCAGAAGGCCAGUCAUUCAAUCCUACAGCUCCAAAAUUACCCUUUUUGAAACCUUGUCCCACAUCCAGGGCACAGGGAUGUAAGGGCUGGGCUCCCAAGGCCUUGGGCAGCUCUGCACCUGUGGCUUUGCAGGGUUUAUGCCCCACGGCUGUCUUCAUGGGCUGGGCUGGUGCACAGUCCUAGCAGAGGUUUUC